RNAcentral lists this ribosomal RNA (476 nucleotides) under Staphylococcus aureus. RNAcentral describes it as "bacterial SSU rRNA". It matches the Rfam family "Bacterial small subunit ribosomal RNA", at positions 1043 to 1519 of the family's 1533-position model. The record is from RNAcentral. Lineage: Bacteria; Bacillati; Bacillota; Bacilli; Caryophanales; Staphylococcaceae.
GCAUGGUUGUCGUCAGCUCGUGUCGUGAGAUGUUGGGUUAAGUCCCGCAACGAGCGCAACCCUUAAGCUUAGUUGCCAUCAUUAAGUUGGGCACUCUAAGUUGACUGCCGGUGACAAACCGGAGGAAGGUGGGGAUGACGUCAAAUCAUCAUGCCCCUUAUGAUUUGGGCUACACACGUGCUACAAUGGACAAUACAAAGGGCAGCGAAACCGCGAGGUCAAGCAAAUCCCAUAAAGUUGUUCUCAGUUCGGAUUGUAGUCUGCAACUCGACUACAUGAAGCUGGAAUCGCUAGUAAUCGUAGAUCAGCAUGCUACGGUGAAUACGUUCCCGGGUCUUGUACACACCGCCCGUCACACCACGAGAGUUUGUAACACCCGAAGCCGGUGGAGUAACCUUUUAGGAGCUAGCCGUCGAAGGUGGGACAAAUGAUUGGGGUGAAGUCGUAACAAGGUAGCCGUAUCGGAAGGUGCGGCU